AGUGAACGCUGGCGGUAGGCCUAACACAUGCAAGUCGAACGGCAGCACAGUAAGAGCUUGCUCUUACGGGUGGCGAGUGGCGGACGGGUGAGGAAUACAUCGGAAUCUACUUUUUCGUGGGGGAUAACGUAGGGAAACUUACGCUAAUACCGCAUACGACCUACGGGUGAAAGCAGGGGAUCUUCGGACCUUGCGCGAUUGAAUGAGCCGAUGUCGGAUUAGCUAGUUGGCGGGGUAAAGGCCCACCAAGGCGACGAUCCGUAGCUGGUCUGAGAGGAUGAUCAGCCACACUGGAACUGAGACACGGUCCAGAGUCCUACGGGAGGCAGCAGUGGGGAAUAGUGGACAAUGGGCGCAAGCCUGAUCCAGCCAUACCGCGUGGGUGAAGAAGGCCUUCGGGUUGUAAAGCCCUUUUGUUGGGAAAGAAAAGCAGCAGGUUAAUACCCCGCUGUUCUGACGGUACCCAAAGAAUAAGCACCGGCUAACUUCGUG
Molecule: ribosomal RNA, 492 nt
Filed under: uncultured bacterium
Lineage: Bacteria
Description: partial 16S ribosomal RNA
Rfam family: Bacterial small subunit ribosomal RNA
Source: RNAcentral